AUAUAUAUAUAUAUAGGCUGGAAUACUAUCGAUAGCACCAAUUAGCUGUUGGUGCUAUUAGUUUUUUAGCUAUUGGAUUGAGAAAUGUGUGGUUAGGAUGAUGUGGGGCUCCUAGGGUUGAGUGAGUGGUUGGUUGAAUAGUAUAAUCUGACAGGUAAAAAUAAUCAAAGGAUUAAAUCUAAUGGUGGAAAACUCGAUAGCACCAAGUUCUUGGGGCUAUCGAUAGUAUCCCAGCCGGACUAUAUAAAUAUAUAUAUGUA
Molecule: long non-coding RNA, 260 nt
Filed under: Ananas comosus (pineapple)
Lineage: Eukaryota; Viridiplantae; Streptophyta; Magnoliopsida; Poales; Bromeliaceae
Description: long non-coding RNA (ACOM_LNC025548)
Source: RNAcentral